ACCUUCAUGGUGUAAUGGUAGCACACUCGGUGUGUAUUGGAGAGGUCCAGGUUCGAAUCCCGGCGGGGGCA
RNAcentral lists this transfer RNA (71 nucleotides) under Stegodyphus mimosarum. It matches the Rfam family "tRNA". From Rfam's summary of the family: Transfer RNA (tRNA) molecules are approximately 80 nucleotides in length. Their secondary structure includes four short double-helical elements and three loops (D, anti-codon, and T loops). Further hydrogen bonds mediate the characteristic L-shaped molecular structure. tRNAs have two regions of fundamental functional importance: the anti-codon, which is responsible for specific mRNA codon recognition, and the 3' end, to which the tRNAs corresponding amino acid is attached (by aminoacyl-tRNA synthetases). tRNAs cope with the degeneracy of the genetic code in two manners: having more than one tRNA (with a specific anti-codon) for a particular amino acid; and 'wobble' base-pairing, i.e. permitting non-standard base-pairing at the 3rd anti-codon position. The record is from Rfam by way of RNAcentral. Lineage: Eukaryota; Metazoa; Arthropoda; Arachnida; Araneae; Eresidae.